Molecule: ribosomal RNA, 256 nt
Filed under: uncultured Rhizophagus
Lineage: Eukaryota; Fungi; Glomeromycota; Glomeromycetes; Glomerales; Glomeraceae
Description: partial large subunit ribosomal RNA
Rfam family: Eukaryotic large subunit ribosomal RNA
Source: RNAcentral
GAAAGAUGAAAAGAACUUUGAAAAGAGAGUUAAACAGUACGUGAAAUUGUUGAAAGGGAAACGAUUGAAGCCAGUCGUACCUUCGGGUAAUCAGCCUUUCGGGUGCGAUUCUGUGGGGUUUGAGGAGCUUAACACCUUCAUGCUUUGCAUAUUCGUGCUCUUGGGUGUACUUGCCCGUGUGGUUGGUUAACAUCAAUUUUGGUGGUCAUAAAAUGACUGGAGGAAUGUAGCUUCGAUCUUGUAUUGAAGUGUUAUA